Molecule: unclassified non-coding RNA, 331 nt
Filed under: soil metagenome
Description: partial contains 5.8S ribosomal RNA, internal transcribed spacer 2, and large subunit ribosomal RNA
Rfam family: 5.8S ribosomal RNA (bases 1-120)
Source: RNAcentral
GAUGAAGAACGUAGUGAAAUGCGAUAAGUAGUGUGAAUUGCAGAAUUCAGUGAAUCAUCGAAUCUUUGAACGCACAUUGCGCCCCCUGGUAUUCCGGGGGGCAUGCCUGUUCGAGCGUCAUUUCACCACUCAAGCCUCGCUUGGUAUUGGGCAACGCGGUCCGCCGCGUGCCUCAAAUCGACCGGCUGGGUCUUCUGUCCCCUAAGCGUUGUGGAAACUAUUCGCUAAAGGGUGUUCGGGAGGCUACGCCGUAAAACAACCCCAUUUCUAAGGUUGACCUCGGAUCAGGUAGGGAUACCCGCUGAACUUACGCAUAUCAAUAAGCGGAGGA